RNAcentral lists this ribosomal RNA (1437 nucleotides) under Chattonella sp. Its description in RNAcentral is "partial large subunit ribosomal RNA". It matches the Rfam family "Eukaryotic large subunit ribosomal RNA", at positions 75 to 1419 of the family's 3401-position model. The record is from RNAcentral. Lineage: Eukaryota; Raphidophyceae; Chattonellales; Chattonellaceae.
UUCCCCUAGUAACGGCGAGUGAAGCGGGAAGAGCUCAUGUUGUAAAUCUGGAUGAGGAUUCCUCGUCCCGAAUUGUAGUCUAGAGAUGCGUGCUCAGCUACUCUCCAGGGCUAAGUCUGUUUGUGAAAGACAGCAUCAUGGACGGUGAUAAUCCGGUUCUUGCCUUGGAUGUUGUAGCGUCUUGAGCCGUCCUCAACGAGUCGAGUUGCUUGGGAUUGCAGCUCUAAGCGGGUGGUAAAUUCCAUCUAAAGCUAAAUAUUGGUGGGAGACCGAUAGCGAACAAGUACCGUGAGGGAAAGAUGAAAAGAACUUUGAAAAGAGAGUUAAAUAGUACCUGAAACUGCUGAAAGGGAAGCGAAUGAAGUCAGUGUUGCUCUUUGUUCUCUGCAUCCUCCCUGCGGGGAUUGUGUAUCGAGGACUUUGAGCUUGUCAGGAUGAGUUCUCUGCCGCGGGAUAUGGUUUGUGAGCUGGAUGCUUCUGCUGAACUCACUCUCUCUGUCGUGGCUUGGACUGAGGUUCCAUCUUGCCGUUGCCUGCUUGUUACUCUCCUGUUGCUGUUUCUGUCCUACUGCUUGCAGUGUUCGGUUGCAGUGAUUGGACUGUGCAAGUUAUGCAUGCAAGGUCAGGAUCCUGACGAAAUGGCUUUAUUUACCCCGUCUUGAAACACGGACCAAGGAGUCUAACAUACGUGCGAGUACUUUGGUGACAAACCAAUGUGCGCAAUGAAAGUAAAGGCUGGCUUCCGUCAGCUGAGGUGGGAUCCUUAUGGAGCACCAUCGACCGACCAUUAUUCCUUCGGGAUAAAGGUUUGAGUGUGAGCAUUUAUGUUGGGACCCGAAAGAUGGUGAACUAUGCCUGAAUAGGGCGAAGCCAGGGGAAACUCUGGUGGAGGCUCGUAGCGAUUCUGACGUGCAAAUCGAUCGUCAAAUUUGGGUAUAGGGGCGAAAGACUAAUCGAACCAUCUAGUAGCUGGUUCCCUCCGAAAUUUCCCUCAGGAUAGCUGCAACCGGUUAAGAGUUUUAUCAGGUAAAGCGAAUGAUUAGAGGCCUCGGGAACGGAAUGUUCUCGACCUAUUCUCAAACUUUAAAUGGGUAAGAACCCGGGGUUGCUUAAUUGAACCCUGCGGUCGAAUCUCGGUUGCUAGUGGGCCAGUCCGGGUAAGCUGGACUGGCGAUGCGGGAUGAUCCGAACGCUUAGUUAAAGUGCCUAACUGCUCGCUCACCUAGAUCCCACAAAAGGUGUUGGUUCAUUUAGACAGCAGGACGGUGGCCAUGGAAGUCGGAACCCGCUAAGGAGUGUGUAACAACUCACCUGCCGAAUGAACUAGCCCUGAAAAUGGAUGGCGCUAAAGCGUGCGACUUAUACUAAGCCAUCAGUGCGAGAUGUAUGCACUGAUGAGUAGGAGGGCGUGUUGCUCGUGCAGAAGCCUUGGGCGGA